UAUCAUCUUCCUUAAGAACUAUUUAUUCAAAUAUUUUACUCAUUUUUAAUUAUUGUAUAUCACAUGAUGUAUUCAUAAGAUGUGGUAGGCAUGAAAAUUAAACUAUAAUAGUGACAACAAACAACAGUAACCAAUUAUUACCAAUUAUUAUAUUGGUGCUCAUUUAGAAGAAAAAUAAAAUGCAAUCGGUGCUGGCACGUAUAGCAACAUCUAGGAGCUUUUGGUCGGUGCAACCAACUAAAAAAGUAAUCCACACCGAGAGCUAUCUCCCACUGCGUGCCUUAUCCACGUCGCCUCUUCUCCCUGCUCCAGCCACACACACACACCCACGCGAUCGUGCUCCAGUCCACGGCGCCGCGUUUCCCUUCUCUCUUCCCUCCUCUCUACAAUCCUCCAAGCUUUCGUCGGCCACUUGCGGGGCGGCUGCGUAUGGGCUCCAGGUGGCCGGGGCUACGCGCGGGGGCAGGCUGGGGCUGUGGCGGAGGCGCGGCAGCGGUGGCCGGCGGCUGCUUGAAGGGGCCGCGUGGAUCUGCCGCCGGGGCUUCGAAUCGGCGUGGUCGUCUGAGCCCUAAGUUUUCGACGCCGAGAGCUUGGCGAUCCAGAGGGUGCUGGUCUCCGUCGGUGGACAUUCGAUGACAAAUGAAAAAAACAGAGGCAACCAAUUCAGCGAGGCCGGCCACCCAGCAAAACGCACCAAAGAACCAAUUCUUUCUUUACCAGAGAAGAAGAAGGCGAGGCCCAAUCUCAGCUGCUGUCCGUCCUUACCUGCCUACAUCCGGCGGGCCGAUGGGGGGCCGGACCUGAGGCGACAUGGCCCUCCCAAGAGAGAAGCAGGCGUUGGCGCUGUGCAGGCCGUCCAUGGCGAUGGAGACGCCCGGACAGGAAGGGCUCAAUCCGGAUGAACCAGCCCGCACCGAGCCCGGCCGCCUCAACAAGAGCUCGUCUCUCUGCUUGCCUGCGGCUCACCGGAGCCGCCAUCGCCGGCGACCGCCUCCCUCACCUUGUGCCCCUUCUCCUUCGCCUUUCUUCCUCUCUUCCCCGAGGAGCGGGGAGCCGACGAAUCCGUCGGUCAGGAGCUGGGCGGCGCCCUCCAUCAUCGUGGCCGUUUGGGGAGGGACGCGGUCCUGGUCGAUGCGGUGUGGGGCGGGCGACGUAGGGCAAGAGGUGGCGGCGGGAUGGAGGUACAUGCGAUGGGGCACCGGCAAACAGAGGCGGGCGGCGGAGGUGCUGCAGGAGCGGCGCUCGACCGCGAGGUGAGGAGGAGGAGCAGAGGAAGGGGAGGCUGGAGGUGAUCCUCGCUGACGAUGGUGGGACUCAGGCAUGAGCAGGAGGAUGAGAGGAAACGGGACAGCGGCCUGCUGGUGGCUGUCGGCGACGCCGGGUGGCGAGGGGUUGUCGGAGCGGCGUCGUGGACGCCGGCGCCAAGCGGCGGCGAGUGGCCGUCGGUGGAGUCUUGGAAUGGAUAAGGAAUAUAAGGACUGACUGCAGACUGCGGGCUAAAUUCUAACUAAUGCAGGGGCUCUUUUGCAACAAUGAAACGUUUUUUUAGGAA
Triticum aestivum (bread wheat) is the source of this 1552-nucleotide long non-coding RNA. RefSeq lists it as uncharacterized. Lineage: Eukaryota; Viridiplantae; Streptophyta; Magnoliopsida; Poales; Poaceae. The transcript is spliced from 2 exons. The record is from RefSeq and is a predicted model, not a curated record.